This is a non-coding RNA of Cinara cedri, 661 nucleotides long. NCBI's taxonomy places the organism in Eukaryota, Metazoa, Arthropoda, Insecta, Hemiptera, Aphididae. The record is from the annotation of a GenBank genome assembly.
AUUUAAUAUUCAAUAGAAGGUACAAUUAUUUACAAAAUGGCUAUUUUGAAAAUUUUCCAAAGUGAACGAACGAAAAGUUAAUUUGUUUUGUGUGUGUUCAGGGAAUGAAAAUAAAAAUGUAAUUUUUCUCUAAAUCGAUGGCCCGCUUGAAGACAAACCGAUUGAAAAAAAUUUAAUAUCAGCAGCGUCCGUCGACACGGUGGAACUCACUGUAUUAAAACAUAACAGCGGCUUUUUUCUCGCCGAUUUUCCGAUAGCCAUUUGUCGACUGCAGUCGGCAUCGGGAUAAUACUUUUACGUUAAAUUCGUACGGUGACGAGUAACGUGAACGGGUAAAGGGCCACGGAAAGCGAUUCGUGUAAGAAACGGUGGAUUAUCUGCAACGCGGGAUUAUUCGGGAGACGUGUGCACCGAGUGUAUAAAUCAAAGACACGGCGAGUAUCGCAUUGUCGUCGUCUUGUGUAAUAAAACACACGCGUACAAAGUAAACGGAUCCGCGUUCGUGUACACACACACACACACACACACGUAUAUAUAUAUUUAUAUGUAUAACAUAUUAUAAUAUAAGUGUGCUGGUGUAUAAUACGAGAUUUUCGUUCUCAAUAUUGUACGGUCUCAAAGAGAAACUGAACGAGAAUUGGUUUUAUAUGUGUACAUACCC